RNAcentral lists this long non-coding RNA (1146 nucleotides) under Dicentrarchus labrax (European seabass). RNAcentral describes it as "lncRNA (ENSDLAG00005034232.1)". Lineage: Eukaryota; Metazoa; Chordata; Actinopteri; Moronidae. The record is from RNAcentral.
GUGAGAACAUGCAUACAGGGCAUAUAGUGGGAAUGACAGAGGCACCAUUAACCCUAUUACAGCAUUUCAAGUCCCCUCUCCUGCCCACAUCACAUGCCUGGGCAAAUUCAGACAGUUAAGACUCUCUGUUGGAGGACCUGUAUGCCGAGCGAAUACGAUACACAAGGGACAUUUCUGAGGUGAGUGUCAUUUUAUUUGCAAAUAAAUUCUUGCAAGAAUUUGGGCAUAUUCUCAAUUGUGAUUUGACCAGCAGUGGAUUUGUGACUGGAGGUUAGGGUACAUUUGUUUAUACAGUUAAUGGUAUAUGUUGUACUAAUAAACAUAGUUAAGGCUAAUCAUAAUUAGCAGUGCAGUUUAGCCAUUCUACCCUUUAGUGCAGCAUAGCAGUGGAUACGAAUGAUAACGUUUUAUUUGGCAAAUUGGCUCAGCUUGAGAAAGCUUUUUAUAUGAGCCAUGGAGAGGAAUAGCAUGAUACUUCCUAUGUGUUUAGCUGUAAACUACAUUGUUGUUUGUAUUUAUUAAACUGGAUAAAUAUUAAUAAUUUAGCAGGGUACUUGACUGGCCCGUCUUAUUGUCUGAUCUUCGUAUAUAUAUUUGGUUAGUUACUUUCUUUUGAUACCUUUUUUCCUUUUUUAAAAUAGCCCAAUACAAUUGUAGUACACAGAGACGUAGCUAUCCACUGCCUUGGAGAGAAGGAAGAGGACCGUUUUCAAGGAAAUUUAGAGUAAGUAAUUCAACAUCUUGAAAGAAAAUGAAAACCACAUUGGGCAGUGUAAAUACACAGGGCAGAAACCUGCUCCUUGUUGAUUAAAAAUGUAAGUAUAUUACACUACAUGGAAUGGGAAAAUACUUCCAAUGUAUUAAUAAAUCAAUGUAUUUUUUCAUUUAAUUUACAAGAACACAGAAGUGUUUGAGGCAGGCCUCGCUUGACAUCUUUGAUAGUGACUGCUGCUGUUUGUUACAGUUUUUGUAAAAUUAAUCUAAAUGUCUUUAAUGUGUAAAAAAGACUGCAGGACCUUGAGAAGAAUGGUGGCCAUGUAUGUGACAAUUUAAAUUUGUGUUGUCAUUGUUUUCAAAGUUUUAAAUAUUGUGUGUUCAAACACUGUUAAACUGCAGUUCAACAUAAAAACAGUUAAUUGCCAAACA